RNAcentral lists this long non-coding RNA (608 nucleotides) under Homo sapiens (human). RNAcentral describes it as "long non-coding RNA NONHSAT139144.2". Lineage: Eukaryota; Metazoa; Chordata; Mammalia; Primates; Hominidae. The record is from RNAcentral.
UAUUUAGUAGAAACGGGGUUUCACCAUGUUAGUCAGGCUGGUCGGGAACUCCUGACCUCAGGAGAUCUACCCGCCUUGGCCUCCCAAAGUGCUGGGAUUACAGGCGUGUGCCACUGUGCCCAGCCACUUUUUUUUAGACAGAGUCUUGGUCUGUUGCCCAGGCUAGAGUUCAGUGGCGCCAUCUCAGCUCACUGCAACCUCCGCCUCCCAGAUUCAAGCGAUUCUCCUGCCUCGACCUCCCAGUAGCUGGGAUUACAGGUUUCCAGCAAAUCCCUCUGAGCCGCCCCCGGGGGCUCGCCUCAGGAGCAAGGAAGCAAGGGGUGGGAGGAGGAGGUCUAAGUCCCAGGCCCAAUUAAGAGAUCAGAUGGUGUAGGAUUUGGGAGCUUUUAAGGUGAAGAGGCCCGGGCUGAUCCCACUGGCCGGUAUAAAGCACCGUGACCCUCAGGUGACGCACCAGGGCCGGCUGCCGUCGGGGACAGGGCUUUCCAUAGCCAUGGCCCAGCAGUGGAGCCUCCAAAGGCUCGCAGGCCGCCAUCCGCAGGACAGCUAUGAGGACAGCACCCAGUCCAGCAUCUUCACCUACACCAACAGCAACUCCACCAGAGGUG